AAACAUGUUUAUUUGCAUAUUGACCUGUGCCUUCUUUUUAAGUUCAAGGAGGCAGUCAAUGUAAGUGUUCAGGCAAGAUGGUGAAGAAAAAAGGGGAAGGGGAAGGAAUUUCUCCCCUGCCUCCCUUUUCAAGUGGAGCACCUAGAGUUGCACUUGAGGAAGUUAAAAUCUUGGGAGAUGCAACCCCGUUCUAUAGGUUUCUUUACAUUCUUUGAGUUGCUAUGAAGAGUCUGUAUUUUUUUUUUUCUUUUUUAAGGGCUGCACCCGCGGUAUAUGGAGGUUCCCAGGUGAGGGGUCUAAUUGGAGCUACAGCUGCCAGCCUACGCCACAGCCACAGCAAUGCCAGAUCUAAGCCGCGUCUGCACCACAUCUCACUGCAACACCAGAUCCCCAACCCAAUGUUCGAGGCCAGGGAUCAAACCUGCAACCUCAUGGUUCCUAAUUGGAUUCGUUUCUGCUGCUGCAUGAUGCGAGCUCCCUAGUCUGUAUUUUUUUUUUUUUAAAUCAAUGCAUGAAAGAUACAAUUUUAGCAAGAAAAAAGAGGGGUGUUAGGCGGAGAUUAGAGGGGCACUGCCAGGCCCUUGAUUUAUCUCCAUUUUCAAGGGAGUCAGGGACACACCCUGGCUGGCCAAUACUGUGACAGGUGGCAGGGUCCUCUGUGACCCCCCCUGCCCUUGCCUCACAGCUGAUCUUCUUGCUCUUCAUGUUCUGCUUCUGCUCUGGCCUCAGGCCUCAGGACCCUGAGGCUCCUGGCCUCGCCUGCCCUGGGGACUCUCUUGGGCAGGGUGGGCAACCUGGGGGUGUGCCAGAAGGCUCUCCGGCGCUUUCGAAACCACGAAAAGCGGCCGGGGGUCUGGAACCUCACUGUCUUGACCGGUUUCCGGGUCCUGGCUCCUGGGGUUGCCCCUGUGGCUCUCCAAGCAGCUGAGGAUUCAGCUUCCUGGACAGCCAGGGCCUCUGCCCUCUGACUACAUGCAGCUUCUGCCCUCUGGUCAGGAAUGGCCUCUGCCCUCUGGACAGCUGGCGCCUCUGCCCCCUGGACAGCUAGGGCCUCUGCCCUCUGAUUAUCUGCAGCCUCUACUCUCUGGACAGUUGGGUCCUCUGCCCCCUGAGCAGCAGGGGCCUCAGCCCUCUGAUUAUCCACAGCUUCUGCCCCCUGGAGAGCUAUGGCCUCUGCCCCCGGGACCACUACUACCUCUGCCCUCUGAUCAUCUGCAGCCUCUGUUCUCUGAGCUCUAGUUGGGGCUUCCUCCCUCCUGCGACGACGGAAGGAGGCCCAAUUGAUUUUGGGUCUCCACCGACUUGGGGGAUUCUCAGGCACCCGCCCAUCUCCUGCAUUUCCCCUGUCCUCCCCGAGGCUUGAGCUGCCUGGCACCGAUGCGCCAUCCCUCUCCACCCUGGUAGAGGCCUGCCGGGCCUCACCCACCCCUGGGCUGGACCUCGGUGCCCAGCCCUUCACCCUCCGCUUCAGCUUCCCCCAGGACACCUGGCUGACAUAUUCCCGCCAUCUAUCAGCCUUGGACAGCUGGGGUCCCGGAUUGUCCUCAAACAUGGGCACUGGCAGGGUCACACGGCGGCGGGCCGGCGGGGCACUGGGCUUCUUCUCUCCUCGCCGCAGGAAGGCCUCAACCAGUUCCUCGUCAUCCUCGCUCUCCAGGUCGCUCCCAAGGAAUUUGCUGCCCAGGUAACUGACAGGCAUUUUGCGCAGCCUCCUUCCACGCCCCGUGCCUUUGUGGUCCUUGUCAUCCUUGUCUCUGGAGGUUUCAAAGUCGCUGAACUCGCUGUCACUGGCAUUGCUGCUGUCAUAAGUACCCACGACCAGCCGAGGAGGUGGCGUCACCAUCUGCGGGACUCUCCUCCUCGAUCCGGGCUCCUUGGGCUUUUUAGGGGGCUGGGGCGGGUGGGGGGUGCUCUUCUCGAUGAUGCGGGCCACAUCCUCCAGGGUGCGGCCUUCUUCCUCCAGAAACUGGAUCAGCCGCUCCCGAAAUUCCGCCUCCUUGGUGGCGGGCUUGGAGAUAACCCUCCAGACGCCUCCCGCCAGCCUGACCUCGCGGGGGAUGAGCAAAUAGUCUACGUCCUCGCCGAUCUGCAGCAUCCCCACCGUGGAGUCCUCCUCGCGGCGGAACACCUUGCCGAUCUUCUUGAAUGUCCCCACCGGCUUCAAGGCUUCCACGAGGACGUCCAAAUCCACAUCUUUGCAGAUGUCGGGGACGCUCCAGAGGAUCAGGCAAUCAGGGGAAGGGAGGAAGCCCCAGGGGAACCAGCCCCCCACGUGGCUUUUCUCGAGGGUCUUUAAGAUCUCCAGGGUGAAAUCUAAAGUGCGGGCAAGGAGCCCAAACUACUCGCAGCGCCGAGUCUUGGGGUGGGGAUGCGGUCCCAAGAGCGCGGCCGGGAAUCUCACCUCCCAGUUUCUCUGCCCGCAACAAGUCGGGUCGUGAUCCAGUUCGCUCCCCUCAAGGACUGGUGGGAAUCGAUUCAGGGUGCUUACGUGAGUCGGAGUCUCAAGGUUCCAAGCCCGCCGCAAGCUGUAAAUGGGUGUCCCGGCUCCAACUCAGUGUAAGGACUGCUGGUGGCUCUUCCUGUGCCAGGCACAGGGGACGUCCCUGGAACUUGGGAAAGGACUUUGCAGACAAAGACGGCUCAGCUGUGGCUGUUCAAUAUGGCCGAGGCUCUUGGAGGCCGCAGCCAGCUCCCCAGGAGGGUCUCCCGCCCCUAGGCAGGCUGCCACCUCGGUCCAGGCUGACCUUGACGCGCCUCCGCCCCCAGCCUGCGCGCCCAGGG
RNAcentral lists this long non-coding RNA (2781 nucleotides) under Sus scrofa (pig). RNAcentral's name for it is "lncRNA (ENSSSCG00045036968.1)". Lineage: Eukaryota; Metazoa; Chordata; Mammalia; Artiodactyla; Suidae. The record is from RNAcentral.